GCUCCUGUGGCACAGUCGGUUAGCGCGUCGUACUUAUAGGCAGUGUGGGCGUGGCCCCGUGGGUGCCAUGAAAUGCGAAGGUCGAGAGUUCAAUCCUCUCCAGGAGCA
RNAcentral lists this transfer RNA (108 nucleotides) under Nematostella vectensis (starlet sea anemone). It matches the Rfam family "tRNA". Rfam says of the family: Transfer RNA (tRNA) molecules are approximately 80 nucleotides in length. Their secondary structure includes four short double-helical elements and three loops (D, anti-codon, and T loops). The record is from Rfam by way of RNAcentral. Lineage: Eukaryota; Metazoa; Cnidaria; Anthozoa; Actiniaria; Edwardsiidae.